Molecule: ribosomal RNA, 438 nt
Filed under: Dermabacter hominis
Lineage: Bacteria; Bacillati; Actinomycetota; Actinomycetes; Micrococcales; Dermabacteraceae
Description: bacterial SSU rRNA
Rfam family: Bacterial small subunit ribosomal RNA
Source: RNAcentral
UCGAACGAUGAAGCUGUGCUUGCACAGUGGAUUAGUGGCGAACGGGUGAGUAACACGUGAGUAACCUGCCCUCCACUUUGGGAUAACUCCGAGAAAUCGGGGCUAAUACUGGAUAUGACUAUGGCCCGCAUGGGUUGUGGUGGAAAGUUUUUCGGUGGGGGAUGGGCUCGCGGCCUAUCAGUUUGUUGGUGAGGUAGUGGCUCACCAAGGCGAUGACGGGUAGCCGGCCUGAGAGGGCGACCGGCCACACUGGGACUGAGACACGGCCCAGACUCCUACGGGAGGCAGCAGUGGGGAAUAUUGCACAAUGGGCGAAAGCCUGAUGCAGCGACGCCGCGUGGGGGAUGACGGCCUUCGGGUUGUAAACCUCUUUCAGCAAGGAAGAAGCCAAAGUGACCGGUACUUUGCAGAAGAAGCGCCGGCUAACUACGUGCCAGC